AUUGGACGCUGGCGGCAGGCCUAACACAUGCAAGUCGAACGGUAGCACAGAGAGCUUGCUCUCGGGUGACGAGUGGCGGACGGGUGAGUAACGUCUGGGAAACUGCCCGAUGGAGGGGGAUAACUACUGGAAACGGUAGCUAAUACCGCAUAACGUCGCAAGACCAAAGUGGGGGACCUUCGGGCCUCACACCAUCGGAUGUGCCCAGAUGGGAUUAGCUAGUAGGUGGGGUAAUGGCUCACCUAGGCGACGAUCCCUAGCUGGUCUGAGAGGAGGACCAGCCACGCUGGAACUGAGACACGGUCCAGACUCCUACGGGAGGCAGCAGUGGGGAAUAUUGCACAAUGGGCGCAGGCCUGAUGCAGCCAUGCCGCGUGUAUGAAGAAGGCCUUCGGGUUGUAAAGUACUUUCAGCGGGGAGGAAGGCGGUGAAGUUAAUAGCUUCACCGAUUGACGUUACCCGCAGAAGAAGCACCGGCUAACUCCGUGCCAGCCGCCGCCGUAA
This 504-nucleotide ribosomal RNA is filed under the name uncultured bacterium. RNAcentral's name for it is "partial 16S ribosomal RNA". It matches the Rfam family "Bacterial small subunit ribosomal RNA", at positions 29 to 523 of the family's 1533-position model. The record is from RNAcentral.